RNAcentral lists this non-coding RNA (47 nucleotides) under Echinostoma caproni. Lineage: Eukaryota; Metazoa; Platyhelminthes; Trematoda; Plagiorchiida; Echinostomatidae. The record is from RNAcentral.
CUACUGUUGAUGAGUCCCAAACAGAACGAAACAGCUCUGUCCAGUAC